RNAcentral lists this unclassified non-coding RNA (418 nucleotides) under fungal sp. RNAcentral describes it as "partial internal transcribed spacer region". The stretch from base 1 to 46 matches the Rfam family "Eukaryotic small subunit ribosomal RNA", at positions 1786 to 1831 of the family's 1831-position model. The record is from RNAcentral. Lineage: Eukaryota; Fungi.
AAGUCGUAACAAGGUAUCCGUAGGUGAACCUGCGGAUGGAUCAUUAACGUUCUUUGAGAAAAGUAAAAUCUAUAUUAUAAUAAUAUAAUAAUAACAUAGUAGCAAUAUUAUGUUUUAUUAUAUUCAUUAUUUAUAUAUUUUUCUUUCUAUCUCAAAUAAUUAUAAUAACACCCUUGUGGUGAAUAUAGGUAAAUGUUUUGACGAGUAAUAUAUGAUAAAGAUAGUGUAGCAAUACGCUAGUGUUAUUAUUAUUACAAGUUGAAAACAGAUUAAUUAUAUAUAAACGCAUUGUUUAAAUUUUAUUAAUAACUAAAGUUUACCUUGUGAAUGAUAAUGGUACAUUAGUAUUAUUAUUUAUUACCAAGUAAAACAAUUAAUAAAUCUAAUACAACUGCUAGCAACGGAUCACUCGGCUCUC